AAUGGAAACUCCCUGAGGCCUAAACAAAGACUGGAUCAGACAGGAGAGCUCAGGAAUCAGGAAGACAAAAUUCUUUCAAAGGGUGUGGGAACUGGGAAAUACCCAUCGGCCCACCUGGUGCUGGGAAGACUUCAGAAAAAAGCCACCAAGGCAGAGAGCGUAGAUGAAUUUUUUGGUAUUAUUUGUCUGGACAGGAGGAAAUGUUGGCUAUUUGAAGUUUGAUUAACCAUCAAUUCCAUUCAAGUCCUCAAAUGUUUCCAUGCAGGACACUGUCACAUGGUGGAGGACACACGUAUGAGCAAGACAGCCCCUGCAGCCAGGAGCUGCUUCCAGGUGAGGAACACAGGCUCGGACAAAACUGACCGGAACAUGAGCAAGACUGGAAUAAGAGCUGAGGCUGAGACAUGGAUCCAUGGGCGUCGGGACCCUGGCAGGAAAGCAAGAUCCUGGGGACAGAGCACCUUUCUCUGCCCACAAAGGCACUGUACAGUUGCCCAGCCCUGUCACUCGGGGCCACCUCCCCCCAGAAAGAGCUCUUUAUCUGACUUGUACAAAAGCACCUUAGGGGCUAGCAUUGCCAGGUGCAUUGGGGAGCAGUUCCUCCAGGUCUAGCCCCACCAACUUUUCCAGAUUCUGUAUUCCUCAAAGCACAGGAUACCAGACUAUGAGUUACCCAGAACCCUAUCUCCCUUCCACCAAUGGGAGCUGGCAGGAGGAGGAGAUGGACAGGAAACUUGGAAAACUCAUUCAUUCAUUCAUUCAUUCAUUCAACAAGAAAGUAUGACUCCACCCCAGGCACUAUUCCAGUCACUGGCAGUACAGAAGAGAGCAAAGACAGGGGCCAUUUGACAGCAUCUUCAGAAACCCCCACAUCAUCUAGACCCUGGGCUUCCCACCCGCCAGGCCAGGCUCUUCCUGCUAGUCCAUGCUGCCUCCUGGGGCUGCCAGUUCUUCAACCAGGCCCACGGGGCACCCACUUGCUGGCUGAAUUUCUCCCCCUGCAUCCCAGUUCUCCUCCAAGUUGGAAGAAGUCUUUGUGGUUUGGAUGAAGGAAGGGAUGAGGAGGAGGGGGACAGAGCAAAGUGUGUUUGCUGGCACCAGAAUCACAGCAGAAGCCAGUGCUGGAAACCUUCCCAAGUAUUUAGAAAUUAAAAUAAUAAAAGAAAACUGAG
RNAcentral lists this long non-coding RNA (1172 nucleotides) under Homo sapiens (human). Its description in RNAcentral is "HSALNT0098508". The record is from RNAcentral. Lineage: Eukaryota; Metazoa; Chordata; Mammalia; Primates; Hominidae.